This 430-nucleotide ribosomal RNA is filed under the name uncultured bacterium. RNAcentral's name for it is "partial 16S ribosomal RNA". It matches the Rfam family "Bacterial small subunit ribosomal RNA", at positions 29 to 507 of the family's 1533-position model. The record is from RNAcentral.
GCGAACGCUGGCGGCAGGCUUCACACAUGCAAGUCGAGCGCCCCGCACGGGGAGCGGCAGACGGGAGAGUAACACGUGGGAACAUACCUUUUGGUUCGGAACAACUGAGGGAUACUUCAGCUAAUACCGGAUAAGCCCUUACGGGGAAAGAUUUAUCGCCGAAAGAUUGGCCCGCGUCUGAUUAGCUAGUUGGUGAGGUAACGGCUCACCAAGGCGACGAUCAGUAGCUGGUCUGAGAGGAUGAUCAGCCUCACUGGGACUGAGACACGGCCCAGACUCCUACGGGAGGCAGCAGUGGGGAAUAUUGGACAAUGGGGGCAACCCUGAUCCAGCCAUGCCGCGUGAGUGAUGAAGGCCUUAGGGUUGUAAAGCUCUUUUGCCCGGGAAGAUAAUGACGGUACCGGGAGAAUAAGCCCCGGCUAACUUCGUG